AAAAAUAAGAAAUAGACAUUGCAGCCUGGUUUUGGCUUCAGUGGGGAUCCCAUCAUUACAACUCAUGCAAGCAAGUUAAUGCUGUUGAAAUCAAAUUCACACCAUCCAGAAUAUUACAUACUAGCAAGUAACAGAAGUUGCAGUUUGUCUCUUUCCUCAUCAAAAGUGAAGUUGAAGGUAUAUGCUGAUCGAGCUUCAUGAGGAAGAAGCAGUCGAACUGACGUUCCAUAAUUAAAAGCAACUUCUUCAAAUGCAAGCAACUAAUGCAACAGUGACGAUAAUUGACAACUAUGUAUGGACCCCCAGCGGAUAUAUCACUCUUUUAGGCGGAAAUAGG
This is a long non-coding RNA of Rosa chinensis, 337 nucleotides long. RefSeq lists it as uncharacterized. The transcript has 3 exons. NCBI's taxonomy places the organism in Eukaryota, Viridiplantae, Streptophyta, Magnoliopsida, Rosales, Rosaceae. The record is from RefSeq and is a predicted model, not a curated record.